UCCAGUGUUUUUAACAGAGCUUUAAGUUUUUCAAAAUAAUUCAUAUAGGUUACCUUGUUUGAUCUUCGCAGUAUCUCUGGAAGGUAGGUGCUGAAACUGAAGCUUUAACCAAAAAAAAGAAAAAAAGAAACUGAAGCUAAAAAAAAAAUGAUUUCCCAGUGUAUUGGCAAAUAAUCUUGUUCUUGAAGUUGCCAAAGGAAAUUCCCCUACAACAACAACCAAAAUGUUCUCUACUGUGAUAGGAAUUUUCCCUUUUUAUAGGUCAGAGCUGGCAGCAAAUGCAAAAAUGGGACAAUUUGGCACUAUUAACAGAAAACUGGAUUUUUAAAAAAGGGAUAUAUUGAAAAGAAAAAGAAGUAUUUGUAGAAUUUAUUGUGAGAUGUAUCAUGUUAGCUUUACUUUUUAAAUGUGUGACAGAAUAAAGUUUUACAUUUACAUUGACAUUUUGUUGGAAAACUGUGAAGCUCAGGCAGAAAGUGAUUUGAUCUUAGACAACAUUAGCAAGUAUUUGGACAUAAUAUGAAGUCUUUUUAAGUCAAGCUACCAGUAUACUAUGUUGUACACUCUCUGCAUUGGAGUUUGUUUCCAAUCUAUAUAAUUUGAUCAAAAAUUCUAUUUUUCUAACAAUUAAAUUCAAGCAGAAGUUGUUGUAUCUGAAUCCAAGUUGUUUUCUUUGUGAACAUACUAUCAGGGACAGCUGGCUUUAGGCAAUAUUGCCUUGCUCAGAACUAUGACAUUAUGAACUUUGCCACUGUUGUAUCUGAAUCCAAGUUGUUUACUCUAUGAACAUAUUAUCAGGGACAGCUGGUUCUAGGAAAUUUUGCCUUGCUCAGAAUUAUAACAUUCUGAACUUUGCUAGAAAGCUUGAAGAUAUUCAAAGAAAUGUAGAUGCCAAAUAGAAAUCUCUUAGCUCUUUUUAAUGGAUUUUUUUUCAUUUUAUUUUACACUUCAUUAACUAACAAGAAUUAUUUUUCCUCCCAAUUCCCCCUCCUUCUUAUAACACAUAAGCAUGGUCAAGGAAAACAAAUUCUAGCAUUAGCCAGGUCUAAAAAUGCUUUGUGUUAUUCUGCUAUAUCCAGGAACUUGAUGAUGGGAGGGUCACUGUCAGCUUGCCUGGUUUCCUUCAGGAAUCAGUUUAAAUUUUCUCUUCUGCAAGAAACCUUUUCCAGUUCCUUUUAAUUAUUGUGCCUUCCAGCUAUGAUUACCUUCAAGCUAUUCUCAACAAUAAAUGGAAAAUCAACAUAACAAACAACCAAGGCCUGAUUUGAAACAUUUGCCUAUUUCUGGGAUAUAACUACUCACACUGAAAAUUUUACAAUCGGCUGUCAUGUCCUGGUUUAAGCUGGUUUCAGUACAUGUCUGCAACAUUAUCUCUCUUCACAGUAGAAAAAUGGAGAACUACUAAGACAGAAUGAGUAUUCAAGCCUUGAUUGCUACUUUGGGUGUUUUUGCUUAAUUACAUUUUCUUUGUUACAAUAAAAUGUUCAUAUUUCCAAAUAUGACUGUGAUUAUAAAAAGAAGACAUCAAUAAAACUUUUUAAAAGAUAUUGCUAAAAUGAAUAUUUGCUUUACAAGCAAUGAGAAAGAGAUCUUGAAUCAUGAAGGUAAUAUAAAAAUAAAAU
Sarcophilus harrisii (Tasmanian devil) is the source of this 1622-nucleotide long non-coding RNA. RefSeq lists it as uncharacterized. The record is from RefSeq and is a predicted model, not a curated record. Lineage: Eukaryota; Metazoa; Chordata; Mammalia; Dasyuromorphia; Dasyuridae. The transcript has 3 exons.